GAGACACCCUUCUGGGGCAGGACUUGCUUCAGUGGGGCUUUGGUGCUCACUGAGUCUGCCCCCUGAAUGUGUCUCU
This 76-nucleotide microRNA precursor is filed under the name Myotis brandtii (Brandt's bat). RNAcentral describes it as "mir-9229 microRNA precursor family". It matches the Rfam family "mir-9229 microRNA precursor family". Lineage: Eukaryota; Metazoa; Chordata; Mammalia; Chiroptera; Vespertilionidae. The record is from Rfam by way of RNAcentral.